UCCACACAAGUUGCCACUAUAUAAUAACUUGCCAAUUUGAAUAGAAAAAAUUCAAUACGCUUUUUUAACAAAUGUCAUGGCUUGAAUUUUCUAAUACAAUGGAUCAAUUCAAUCUCAAUCCGCUCUUACUUGAAGCUCUCUAACUCAUGGGAAUGUGUCGAUCUCUCUAGAAUCGUGCCUCCUAUGCAAAAACGUUCUUAUGAACUCCUCUGUGUUGUGCACCUACACAUGCUCCAGUGCAUCUGCACUUAAUAACAAUACUAUUCUCGUGGACUGCACUUCAAUUUCUGUAUUAUGGUAGCUUACUCAAUCUCCAAUCGAACUUCCCAUCAAGAAGUUCCCGCAAAGAUAAUUUCUUCCCAAAAGUGUUAUUUUGGAGCAAGUUCAUGCAGAUCGAGAGGUUGGCCGUAGGAUUUACUUGCUUGGAGACCCAAGGUAGUCAUUUUGGCGUCUGCAUGCCUUAGCGUCCCCUUCUAUACUCCAUACUUCACUAUUUUCCUUAUUUCGUAAACAAUUGUAUCUUUUUUCGGACAAAUACUUGUAGUAAAAUCAUAGAAUGUUCGUGAACUGUGAUUCCGGAUUCUGGGUAGUAAUAUCAUAUAAUCAAAGUUGUUACUUAUGUACUUCCACGUUUAUUUUGAUUUGUUUUGGCUUUUUUGUUGUUAAUCACUGAAGCUUAUUUCCAAUCACUGAAAUGUAAAGGAAUUGGCUAAUAAAAAACUCUAACGUUUGCUUGCC
Long non-coding RNA from Nicotiana attenuata, 738 nucleotides. RefSeq lists it as uncharacterized. Lineage: Eukaryota; Viridiplantae; Streptophyta; Magnoliopsida; Solanales; Solanaceae. The record is from RefSeq and is a predicted model, not a curated record. The transcript has 2 exons.